UCCCUGUUACCAGGGCUGUCUCCUCUGAACAUUCAACAGAGGACGAGGGUUUCGUUCGUUCAAGGACUUAACCUCACAGCUCACGCCACGAACUGACGACGACCGUGCAAUACCUGUCUUUGGGCUCCUUGCGGCACCACUCUCUUUCAAGAGUGUUCCCAAGAUGUCAAGCCCUGGAUAAGGUUCUUCGCUUGUUGUCGAAUUAAACCACAUGCUCCACCACUUGUGCGAGCCCCCGCCAAUUCCUUUGAGUUUUAAUCUUGCGAUCGUACUUCCCAGGCGGUCAACUUGACGCGUUAGCUUCGCGACAGAAAGGGUCGACUCUCCCUAUCGCUAGUUGACAUAGUUUACGGCGUGGACUAC
Molecule: unclassified non-coding RNA, 363 nt
Filed under: uncultured bacterium
Lineage: Bacteria
Description: contains 16S-23S intergenic spacer region
Source: RNAcentral